GUGUAUGUGGCGAAGUGGUUAACGCAUCGGGUUGUGGUUCCGACAUUCGUGGGUUCGAAUCCCAUCAUUCACC
This 73-nucleotide transfer RNA is filed under the name Lingula anatina. It matches the Rfam family "tRNA". Rfam says of the family: Transfer RNA (tRNA) molecules are approximately 80 nucleotides in length. Their secondary structure includes four short double-helical elements and three loops (D, anti-codon, and T loops). Lineage: Eukaryota; Metazoa; Brachiopoda; Lingulata; Lingulida; Lingulidae. The record is from Rfam by way of RNAcentral.